GAUUGAACGCUGGCGGCAGGCCUAACACAUGCAAGUCGAGCGGUAGCACAGAGAGCUUGCUCUCGGGUGACGAGCGGCGGACGGGUGAGUAAUGUCUGGGAAACUGCCUGAUGGAGGGGGAUAACUACUGGAAACGGUAGCUAAUACCGCAUAACGUCGCAAGACCAAAGUGGGGGACCUUCGGGCCUCAUGCCAUCAGAUGUGCCCAGAUGGGAUUAGCUAGUAGGUGGGGUAAUGGCUCACCUAGGCGACGAUCCCUAGCUGGUCUGAGAGGAUGACCAGCCACACUGGAACUGAGACACGGUCCAGACUCCUACGGGAGGCAGCAGUGGGGAAUAUUGCACAAUGGGCGCAAGCCUGAUGCAGCCAUGCCGCGUGUGUGAAGAAGGCCUUCGGGUUGUAAAGCACUUUCAGCGGGGAGGAAGGCGAUAAGGUUAAUAACCUUGUCGAUUGACGUUACCCGCAGAAGAAGCACCGGCUAACUCCGUGCCAGCAGCCGCGGUAAUACGGAGGGUGCAAGCGUUAAUCGGAAUUACUGGGCGUAAAGCGCACGCAGGCGGUCUGUCAAGUCGGAUGUGAAAUCCCCGGGCUUAACCUGGGAACUGCAUUCGAAACUGGCAGGCUAGAGUCUUGUAGAGGGGGGUAGAAUUCCAGGUGUAGCGGUGAAAUGCGUAGAGAUCUGGAGGAAUACCGGUGGCGAAGGCGGCCCCCUGGACAAAGACUGACGCUCAGGUGCGAAAGCGUGGGGAGCAAACAGGAUUAGAUACCCUGGUAGUCCACGCCGUAAACGAUGUCGAUUUGGAGGUUGUGCCCUUGAGGCGUGGCUUCCGGAGCUAACGCGUUAAAUCGACCGCCUGGGGAGUACGGCCGCAAGGUUAAAACUCAAAUGAAUUGACGGGGGCCCGCACAAGCGGUGGAGCAUGUGGUUUAAUUCGAUGCAACGCGAAGAACCUUACCUGGUCUUGACAUCCACAGAACUUUCCAGAGAUGGAUUGGUGCCUUCGGGAACUGUGAGACAGGUGCUGCAUGGCUGUCGUCAGCUCGUGUUGUGAAAUGUUGGGUUAAGUCCCGCAACGAGCGCAACCCUUAUCCUUUGUUGCCAGCGGUCCGGCCGGGAACUCAAAGGAGACUGCCAGUGAUAAACUGGAGGAAGGUGGGGAUGACGUCAAGUCAUCAUGGCCCUUACGACCAGGGCUACACACGUGCUACAAUGGCAUAUACAAAGAGAAGCGACCUCGCGAGAGCAAGCGGACCUCAUAAAGUAUGUCGUAGUCCGGAUUGGAGUCUGCAACUCGACUCCAUGAAGUCGGAAUCGCUAGUAAUCGUAGAUCAGAAUGCUACGGUGAAUACGUUCCCGGGCCUUGUACACACCGCCCGUCACACCAUGGGAGUGGGUUGCAAAAGAAGUAGGUAGCUUAACCUUCGGGAGGGCGCUUACCACUUUGUGAUUCAUGACUGGGGUGAAGUCGUAACAAGG
This 1477-nucleotide ribosomal RNA is filed under the name uncultured bacterium. Its description in RNAcentral is "bacterial SSU rRNA". It matches the Rfam family "Bacterial small subunit ribosomal RNA". The record is from RNAcentral.